Molecule: ribosomal RNA, 255 nt
Filed under: Triticum aestivum (bread wheat)
Lineage: Eukaryota; Viridiplantae; Streptophyta; Magnoliopsida; Poales; Poaceae
Description: partial small subunit ribosomal RNA
Source: RNAcentral
AUGCAGACCUUACUACGCAUGUCGAAUUCUUCAUCAACAACCUCAAAGAGACUUGGAACCGUCACUACGAACAUUCAAAGGUCCAGAUCAGGCAUUUCCCGACUGAAUAUGUGGCGACUGCGAAGCAAGGGAACACGACGGACUAUGGCUUUCACGCGCUGGAAUACUUUGCAAAGUGGGAAGGCAGAUUUGUCCCCGCUAUCACAGCUGCAAUGGUCGUUGAGCUCCGGGAAAUCCACACAUGGAACUGGUUGA